ACUAUGUGGAACCACAAGAUGUUAGAGAAUCAAUUGCAGGGCAAUAACUUACAUAAAGCAUAUGUGCACAUCUCUCCACAAAGCGUUGGUUCAUGGCCUUAUGACUACGGCUGCUUCUAUGGCAUGGAUAUGGCUUUCGUGCUUGGUUCGAACCGAGUCAGACCCCAGCUCCAGCUCUAGCUUCGGCUACAGCUCCAACUGCAACUCAGACGCAGACUCAUACUCAGACUCCUCGGCUGGACGAAUUGACGGCUGCUGCACGCUCUUGUGUAACCUUUUAAUCCGUUUUGUAAGCAGAACGUAACGCACGUUCGCAUAAAAAGCAACAGCAACAAAAAAGCAACAGCAAUUGUGGGACCGGCAGCGGAAACAAGCUGCACACAAUGGAUCCAUACCCGAGCUGAAGCCCAAUACCCAUACCCAUACCAUCCAUACUCAUACUUAUACCAUCCAUACCCAUUUUCAAUCCCAUAGCCAUUCCCAUGCACAUGGCAAUCCACGUUGGAGAUGCUAAAAGCUGACAAGGAGGUAGCUUAAUUUAAAUAUUUUCAAUAACUAAUUCAAUCUAUCUUGAUUUACUAUGCAGUAUUAAGCUAGUUUUAUCAGAAGGUAUUCUUGUAACUCCAUACUAACAGACGUCAAACUGAUACCGAAAAUGUAUAUAUAUGAAAUAAAAAAAUUGUACUG
This is a non-coding RNA of Drosophila melanogaster (fruit fly), 687 nucleotides long. NCBI's taxonomy places the organism in Eukaryota, Metazoa, Arthropoda, Insecta, Diptera, Drosophilidae. The record is from Ensembl.